GGGGAAUAUUGCACAAUGGGCGAAAGCCUGAUGCAGCGACGCCGCGUGAAGGAUGAAGGUCUUCGGAUUGUAAACUUCUAUCAGCAGGGAAGAAAGGGCCUAUGGCCUAUGACGGUACCUGACUAAGAAGCCCCGGCUAACUACGUGCCAGCAGCCGCGGUAAUACGUAGGGGGCAAGCGUUAUCCGGAUUUACUGGGUGUAAAGGGUGCGUAGGUGGCUAUGCAAGUUUGAUGUGAAACCUUAAGGCUUAACCUUAAGCAUGCAUCAAAAACUGCAAAGCUAGAGUGCAGGAGAGGAAAGUGGAAUUCCUAGUGUAGCGGUGAAAUGCGUAGAUAUUAGGAGGAACACCAGUAGCGAAGGCGGCUUUCUGGACUGUAACUGACACUGAGGCACGAAAGCGUGGGGAGCAAAC
This 413-nucleotide ribosomal RNA is filed under the name uncultured bacterium. Its description in RNAcentral is "bacterial SSU rRNA". It matches the Rfam family "Bacterial small subunit ribosomal RNA", at positions 356 to 773 of the family's 1533-position model. The record is from RNAcentral.